GCGCGAGUGGUGAAAUUGGCAGACACGCAGGAUUUAGGUUCCUGUGCCUUCGGGCGUGGGGGUUCAAGUCCCCCCUUGCGCACCG
Molecule: transfer RNA, 85 nt
Filed under: Pseudarthrobacter sp. AG30
Lineage: Bacteria; Bacillati; Actinomycetota; Actinomycetes; Micrococcales; Micrococcaceae
Description: tRNA-Leu
Rfam family: tRNA
About the family: Transfer RNA (tRNA) molecules are approximately 80 nucleotides in length. Their secondary structure includes four short double-helical elements and three loops (D, anti-codon, and T loops).
Source: RNAcentral